Molecule: non-coding RNA, 100 nt
Organism: Microdochium nivale
Lineage: Eukaryota; Fungi; Ascomycota; Sordariomycetes; Xylariales; Microdochiaceae
Source: the annotation of a GenBank genome assembly
GGGGAUAUGGUUUAGUGGUAUAAUACUCCCUUAGCAUCUCUGCGGAUUCCCCGCGGAUUUAUCUUGGGAGUGGUCCAGGGUUCGAUUCCCUGUGUCUCCA